AAAUGUAUAGGUUAUGAACCUUAUUUUCUCUAUCUUUUUUAUAAUUCUUGGAUAUUGAGCUUUAUUAAAUUUGUCAUUCUUUACAAUAUGAAUACACCCAGAAGAAUAUUUUUCCAUCCCAAAUUUUGGUAUUAUAGAGAUAUAAGUCCUUUAAGAUUGUUUAAGUAAUCCUAAGGAUCUAUUUCUGUAAAUCUUAAUGUCGAUAAC
Molecule: long non-coding RNA, 207 nt
Filed under: Elaeis guineensis (African oil palm)
Lineage: Eukaryota; Viridiplantae; Streptophyta; Magnoliopsida; Arecales; Arecaceae
Description: long non-coding RNA (EGUI_LNC038592)
Source: RNAcentral